GGGGGGAUAACUCAGUGGCAGAAUGCAUGCUUAGCAUGCACAGGGUCUUAGGUUCAAUCCCCAGUCCCUCCA
This is a transfer RNA of Camelus ferus (Wild Bactrian camel), 72 nucleotides long. It matches the Rfam family "tRNA". Rfam says of the family: Transfer RNA (tRNA) molecules are approximately 80 nucleotides in length. Their secondary structure includes four short double-helical elements and three loops (D, anti-codon, and T loops). Further hydrogen bonds mediate the characteristic L-shaped molecular structure. tRNAs have two regions of fundamental functional importance: the anti-codon, which is responsible for specific mRNA codon recognition, and the 3' end, to which the tRNAs corresponding amino acid is attached (by aminoacyl-tRNA synthetases). tRNAs cope with the degeneracy of the genetic code in two manners: having more than one tRNA (with a specific anti-codon) for a particular amino acid; and 'wobble' base-pairing, i.e. permitting non-standard base-pairing at the 3rd anti-codon position. NCBI's taxonomy places the organism in Eukaryota, Metazoa, Chordata, Mammalia, Artiodactyla, Camelidae. The record is from Rfam.